CCCUCGCCGAUCGGACGGCACCUUCUCAUCCUCACCGAUUACCCCGCUGGGCUCCUAUCCGCGCCCACCCCGAUCGACGCGUUCCCCGACUCCUCUCGCGCCCACCACCGCCGCGGCUGCGGGAUCGGCGUCCGAUUCACGCGUGCCUUCCGCGCCACCGAGCCGUGCGGUGCAGCCGCUCGCUCUCGCGGGUGAUCCUGCGCGGCCCGGUCCUGCACUGGAUGGAACGCGCCGAAGCGUGGGCUGCCAUUGCCCUGGCCUCGGACGCGUGAUUCACGCAGGCGAAGUCGUCUGCUCUCACGAGGGCGCGGUUCUGUACGGCACUGGGAUUGAUUUCAGGGCAUGAUGCAUCAGUGACGAAUCUCUAGUUCAAAGCUGCUCAGUUAUGCAAUCUGCACAGGUUAGGGUGAAUAACGUGAGUUGACGCCUCGAUUCAGAUGGGUGAAAAUUUCAGUCCCCGGGCUGCAAACAGUGGGGAAAGUCAUCACAAGGUUUGUACUUCUUUAAGUGCCCUUGGGAACAACAUGUCAACUCAUUCAGUCUGCAAAGUUCCCUUUUCUUUUUGGAACACUCAUGGUUAAAUAUUUCAGUAGCUUAAUACAAUGAAUGCAUGGAAUGGUGUUUGGUGUUCCUAAAUGGAUGUGUGUUGUUCAUGAUGUUGUCCAGCACUGAUGUUCUCAUGAUGGUGCUCAUUAAAAAAAACAAUCUUAAAUGGCUAAUCCUUUUGUGGCAAAAUUGUUUACCAAGUUUACUUAGAAACUAAUGUUCAAAUUGGUAAAAUUCCUUUUCAUAUUCCAUUGUAUACUACUCCCUCCGUCCCAUAGUAUAAGAGCAUUUUUGACAGUACACUAGUGUGAAAAACGCUCUUAUAUUAUGGGACGGAGGGAGUAUUACAUUUGAAUGCAUUCAUGCAGAAACUAUUUGUAGUUGUACCAGUGUGUGCUUCUGCUAUCUUACCUAUAUAAUGUUUCUUGGGAAUUAAUAUAUGUGCCCAUUCUCUCACCUCAUGUAACUUUUGCUACAUUAUAUUCCAGUUCUAUUUUUCACUUAGAGAGCCAUUGUCAUCCUUCAUGUUUGGGUCUAUGAACUAAGGACUAAGUAAUGUUUGUGCUAGUUUAUUUCAUUGCUAUUGUACAUGUGACCAAACUUUAGUACUGGAGACACGAAACAUUUUCCCAUCUAGAAAUAUUUACCAAAAAAGGAAAAUGAAAGGAGAGUAGCAGCAAAUAGAUGUGUGACUUGCACAUUGGAUUCCAUGAGUUGAGGCAGUAAGUAGCAUGUGUCCAAGGUAUAUUUUUGGUGUCUUGUGAGCAUACAUGGUACUUUCUGUACCAAUAGUGUAUUUCCACAAACGGCUCAUAUAUAUGUUUGUUUUGCCAGACCAUGAGAAUGAAUAUUUUUUGAGAAAACGCAAGAGAGAUUGCGUUUCAUUGCACUGAAAAGAGGGAGUUUGGGUUUUACAAUGCUCGUGAGCACAUCAAUGAACGUCCCAUGUUUGGGGUGUGAUGGCACGAAGCCCUAAAGCACCGGUGCUGGCCCAAAGGGCGGCCUCAUCCUUGAUCUUGGAUGGAACACCAGUUGCUGUAGACGGGCCGCACACGCAUCACAUCGGUCGUCCGACUCCAGUGUACGGCACAAGGCACAUGGGCGCCUGUCCUCGCGGAGCACGGCCAUUACAGGCUCAUGCUGAAACUAAGGGUGGAAGAAAAGGCAGAUGGCUGUUUCUCCGGCCGGCCGGGCAGCCACGUUCCAGGGCGAUGGGGAUUCUGCUGCGCCAAUGUGGGUGCUAUCACAUGGAAAGAUCCUGUGUCCAUAUCAAGAUAUCAUGCAUGCCACUGCUGGAGAUCGUUAGUGUCUUUCCAAGACUAGAGAAGAAUAACACUCGGCAUCAGCUGUAAACGAAGCCACAUAAUGAUUGGUCAUCGUUAGUUAUAAGCUGUGUGACCAGCACUGUAGCACAAAUGACGAUACAUAGUUUGAUUUGUUGUGUGCGUAGGCCGCGGGAGAUCAUUCCUCUGUUGUCGGAAAAGAUGGUUUAAUUUCAUGUGCUAUUUGCCAUGCAUCAGACUAGAACUUGAAGUAGUGGCCCAAGAACUUGGAGUAUUUAUCAGGAGCACUUGAAGAAUGUGUGGCUGUUGGUUAGGACAUGCAAGUUGGUACAUACGUGUUUAUAUGUGUACGUACGUAGGACCGAGUACUCACGCCUUGUUUACGUGGAAAUUUUAAAGCUGUUCACGGCAUGGCAGUGUGAAUGUGGAACCAGUUGUUGCGUGUAUAAAUUCAAGAUCUAGCA
This is a long non-coding RNA of Hordeum vulgare subsp. vulgare (domesticated barley), 2293 nucleotides long. RefSeq lists it as uncharacterized. The transcript has 7 exons. The record is from RefSeq and is a predicted model, not a curated record. Lineage: Eukaryota; Viridiplantae; Streptophyta; Magnoliopsida; Poales; Poaceae.